GCGGGCAUGGUGUUAGCGGUAGCACAUUUGCUUCCCAAGCAAAAAGCACGGGUUCGAUUCCCGUUGCCCGCU
Molecule: transfer RNA, 72 nt
Filed under: Chloroflexota bacterium
Lineage: Bacteria; Bacillati; Chloroflexota
Also listed under: 2 other names
Description: Chloroflexi bacterium tRNA-Gly
Rfam family: tRNA
About the family: Transfer RNA (tRNA) molecules are approximately 80 nucleotides in length.
Source: RNAcentral